GUCCACGCUGUAAACGAUGAGCACUAGGUGUGGGGGGGUUCAGUCCCUUCCGUGCCGCAGCUAACGCAUUAAGUGCUCCGCCUGGGGAGUACGGCCGCAAGGUUGAAACUCAAAGGAAUUGACGGGGGCCCGCACAAGCGGUGGAGCAUGUGGUUCAAUUCGAUGCAGAGCGAAGAACCUUACCUGGGCUUGACAUGCAGGAAGUAGAAACCGGAAACGGCGACGACCUGUUAAGUCAGGAACCUGCACAGGUGGUGCAUGGCUGUCGU
RNAcentral lists this ribosomal RNA (269 nucleotides) under uncultured bacterium. Its description in RNAcentral is "partial 16S ribosomal RNA". It matches the Rfam family "Bacterial small subunit ribosomal RNA", at positions 793 to 1055 of the family's 1533-position model. The record is from RNAcentral.